RNAcentral lists this long non-coding RNA (1984 nucleotides) under Salmo salar (Atlantic salmon). RNAcentral describes it as "lncRNA (ENSSSAG00000092245.1)". Lineage: Eukaryota; Metazoa; Chordata; Actinopteri; Salmoniformes; Salmonidae. The record is from RNAcentral.
CACACACACACACACACACACACAUAUAUACACACAGACAGACAGACAGACACACACACACACACUGCCUUAGGCAUUUAACCUCUUAUUGAAAGAAGCAUUUAUUUUGAUGUUCGGCGGUCAUUUUUCAAAUCGAAGACAAGGAAGAGAGAAUAUUGACGUUGGUUGCGAGAUACAGAAGAAUAAGAAUAAGAACAUACAGAAGAAGAAGAACAGAGAAUAUUUCCACAGCUCCACGAGCUCUUUUCGCAAUUGGCGAAAGCAUCAUAUUUGAAAUGUAUCAAGGGAUGACACAGAUACCUCUGGCUCUGAGCAAGACAGUGAGCCAGAGCAGCCAGGAGAUGUCAUCGAGCCCUCCCAACUGCAUCAAGCACCAGAUAUGCUGUUCCAAAAGGACCCAAUGACAUUUCAAGAUCCAGAGAAGAGGGUCCUGCACAGCCGUGUUUGAACACAUUUCCCAGAACGCAGCAUGGUACUAGGAAAAGGGCUUUCAACAGCUCCUGGUAUAAAGACAAUUCAUGGCUUGAAUAUUUUGUAAGUCAAGAUUCGACUUAUUGUUUCGCCUGUCGGCAUUUUUCUCUGCCCAAUACACCUGAAUCUGCCUUCACAUCAAAGUCAGGUUUAUGUAACUGGAAAAAGGUGCUGUUUAAAGAUUCUGGGUUUAAGCUCCAUUCGAAGGCAGAGCAUCAUAUCAAUGCUAUAUAUGCUUGGAAUCAGUAUAAAAGGGCUAUUGACAGCAACUCCUCAAUGUUAGACGUCGUAAAUGAGGACUGGAAAAAGAAAGUGGAGGAAAACUGUACUUACAUUAAAACAAUUGCAAUGUGCUCCUAUUAACUGGCACUCAAAAUAUAGAGCAGAGAGGUCAUCGAGAGUGAUGACUCUCACAAGGGUAAUUUUUUGACAAUCUUAGAAGAAAUAGCAAAGCAUGACCAUCUCAAAGAGAAAAAGAUGAAUGCAUGUGGCAAUGCUAAGUACACAAGCCAUCAAAUCCAGAACAAAGUUCUUGAGGGCUUAGCUGAGAUGGUACAAAGUGAAAUAAUAAGAGAAGUAAAAGAAAGUUACGUUUUUAGUGUAAUUGCAGAUGAAACCAAAGAUUUAAAGAAAAAAUAAAUGUUGUUAGUUGUGAGGUACUAUUACAACGGGGCCAUCGACGAAAGCUUUUUACACUUUCAGUCAGUUGAAAGCUUAGAUGCAGCAGGUCUCACAAAAAUUAUAAUUGAUUGCUUUGAAAAACAUGGUCUGGACUACAUAAAUAAUCUUGUGGUGCAAGGCUAUGACGGUGCAUCCGUCAUGAGCGGAAAGCAUUAUGGUGUCUGCACGGAUUAAAAACAGUGCAAGAUUUGCAUUUUAUGUGCACUGUAAUGCUGUAAUGUUUUGCUUUCGCUAUAAAGCCUUUUUGAAAUCGGACAGUGUGGUUAGAUAAAGGAGAGUCUUGUCUUUAAAAUGCUGUGAAAUAGUCAUAUGUUUGAAAAAUUGAAGUUUUUGUAUUUUUGAGGAAUUUGUAAUUCGCGCCACGCCUAUCAUUGGAUAUUGGAGCAGGUGUUCCGCUAGUGGAACGUCUAGAUGUAAGAGGUUAAGGCAGCGCCCUGCACCUCUCUGAAGACACAUUUCAGUUGAUACAUUCAGUUGGACAACUGAGUAGGUAUUCCCUUGACUGCGUUUGCUACUAACAGAGAUAUGGUUGUUGUAUUCAUUCGUUUUAGUCCAGUGGCCUUCACCAAGUAAGAUACUAAGUGAAUAUGUUGUCAUUAAAAUGUAAUUUUUUAAGACAAUACAGUACUUCAUAAAACCUUAUUUUAAAGUCCUAGUUGUCAUAGUUUAUAGGCCACAUCAGGACUGCAAGUCACAUUAUGCUGGCUUGCAAAGUAAUAUGUAAUUCCUAUUGGAAUCAGCCAGAGUGGGGAUAGCCAAUAUUUAGAUUUUUUUAUUCAUCCGCAACCUGCAUUCAGAAUUACUGCCAUGGUUGAGAAGACAAUGAUAUGAG